UACGUAGGGUGCGAGCGUUGUCCGGAAUUAUUGGGCGUAAAGAGCUUGUAGGUGGUUUGUCGCGUCUGCUGUGAAAAUCCAGGCUCGACCUGAACCUGGCAUUGCGUAGUACGGGCAGACUAGAGGUUCGGCGUAGGGGAGACUGGAAUUCCUGGUGUAGCGGUGAAAUGCGCAGAUAUCAGGAGGAACACCGAUGGCGAAGGCAGGUCUCUGGGCCAUUACUGACACUGAGAAGCGAAAGCAUGGGGAGCGAACAGGAUUAGAACCUCGUAGUCA
RNAcentral lists this ribosomal RNA (276 nucleotides) under uncultured bacterium. RNAcentral describes it as "partial 16S ribosomal RNA". It matches the Rfam family "Bacterial small subunit ribosomal RNA", at positions 524 to 796 of the family's 1533-position model. The record is from RNAcentral.